ACAAAAAUAAUACAGAUAAUAAAGUUGAAAAGUCAGCAGACAUAGGUUGCUCAAGUGAACCGUAACUCACCUCCCUCAAGCUGUCUAGUAACUUAAGUUUCUGAGUCAAUACGUUGCUUCAAUUUAAUCUUCCUUGCAUUUUCCUUCUUCCAACGGCACCCAACUCCAAAGACUGAUCAUCAUCAUCAGCGUCAUCUUUUAUAUUACUUUUUGACUUAACAAACAAUUUUCUUAAUCUAGCAAAAAAAGAUGAAGGAAAAUCAGGUGUUACUGACUGCUAUUUUGUUAGCCAAGUGUCAUGUUAACCAAUUAAAUGACUAUAGAAAUUCUAAUAUUUUUCAGAAAAGAAAAGUAUUAUUAGCCAUAAGCAAAUAGAGAAACUUGGAUGAUUUUAGCCAAUACCCAUCAUUACCCAUUUGAAGAUUGCUUGUUAUCAAGUGAAGUUGAAUCGAAAAACUUGGAUGAUUUUAGCCAAUACCCAUCAUUACCCAUUUGAAGACUGCUUGUUAUUAAGUGAAGUUGAAUCGGCCAAAGUCUGUCCAUCGAAUUUGGGUGAAACCAUGUGUUUGGGGAAGAAAUGGAACGCUAGUAACAGAGCGCCUAGUGUUGAUGAAGAGUUUUAUGAUAGCAAAAUGUCGCCAGGGGAUAUUGGUUUAUGCUGGUUAUACUAGGUAAUUAAAAUGGUACGCGGGUUUCACCAUGUUUUUUUUUUUUUUUUAAAGAAAAGGAGAAAUUCGUUAAACAGACAAAUGAGAAAGUAA
Molecule: long non-coding RNA, 761 nt
Filed under: Citrus maxima (pomelo)
Lineage: Eukaryota; Viridiplantae; Streptophyta; Magnoliopsida; Sapindales; Rutaceae
Description: long non-coding RNA (CMAX_LNC000809)
Source: RNAcentral